GAGUAAUGCGUGACCGACCUGCCCCAUACACCGGAAUAKCUCCUGGAAACGGGUGGUAAUGCCGGAUGCUCCGACUCCUCGCAUGGGGUGUCGGGAAAGAUUUCAUCGGUAUGGGAUGGGGUCGCGUCCUAUCAGGUAGUCGGCGGGGUAACGGCCCACCGAGCCUACGACGGGUAGCCGGCCUGAGAGGGCGACCGGCCACAUUGGGACUGAGAUACGGCCCANACUCCUACGGGAGGCAGCAGUGGGGAAUAUUGCACAAUGGGCGCAAGCCUGAUGCAGCGACGCCGCGUGCGGGAUGACGGCCUUCGGGUUGUAAACCGCUUUUGAUCGGGAGCAAGCCUUCGGGUGAGUGUACCUUUCGAAUAAGCACCGGCUAACUACGUGCCAGCAGCCGCGGUAAUACGUAGGGUGCAAGCGUUAUCCGGAAUUAUUGGGCGUAAAGGGCUCGUAUGCGGUUCGUCCCGUCCGGUGUGAAAGUCCAUC
RNAcentral lists this ribosomal RNA (486 nucleotides) under Bifidobacterium sp. 11-5-G. RNAcentral's name for it is "bacterial SSU rRNA". It matches the Rfam family "Bacterial small subunit ribosomal RNA", at positions 108 to 606 of the family's 1533-position model. The record is from RNAcentral. Lineage: Bacteria; Bacillati; Actinomycetota; Actinomycetes; Bifidobacteriales; Bifidobacteriaceae.